GAUGAAGAACGUAGUGAAAUGCGAUACGUAAUGUGAAUUGCAGAAUUCAGUGAAUCAUCGAGUCUUUGAACGCACAUUGCGCCCCCUGGUAUUCCGGGGGGCAUGCCUGUCCGAGCGUCAUUGCUGCCCUCAAGCACGGCUUGUGUGUUGGGCCUCCGUCCUCCUCCCGGGGGACGGGCCCGAAAGGCAGCGGCGGCACCGCGUCCGGUCCUCGAGCGUAUGGGGCUUCGUCACCCGCUCUUGUAGGCCCGGCCGGCGCUUGCCGACACAUCAAUCUUUUUUCCAGGUUGACCUCGGAUCAGGUAGGGAUACCCGCUGAACUUAAGCAUAUCGAUAAGCGGAGGA
RNAcentral lists this unclassified non-coding RNA (345 nucleotides) under soil metagenome. RNAcentral's name for it is "partial contains 5.8S ribosomal RNA, internal transcribed spacer 2, and large subunit ribosomal RNA". The stretch from base 1 to 120 matches the Rfam family "5.8S ribosomal RNA", at positions 35 to 154 of the family's 154-position model. The record is from RNAcentral.